Molecule: long non-coding RNA, 373 nt
Organism: Phragmites australis (common reed)
Lineage: Eukaryota; Viridiplantae; Streptophyta; Magnoliopsida; Poales; Poaceae
Exons: 3
Source: RefSeq, a predicted model, not a curated record
ACGAUGCACCCCGUAAAUCCCACCAGGGCCGUAAAUUCUACUUAGCAUCUCCAAUGCUAGCUCUACUCCUCUUCUUUGACUAAUGAAUUCGUGGCCAGCUCCCAUAGGAGCACUAUCAGGCAACAGUAAGCGGUGCGCAUCCUGAACAAUUUCGGUCAGCAGGCGAUAAGGGAGCAUGGCGUUGGCAUCGAUGGAUUGUGGAAUCAAGGUUGCUAGGUGGACUGCCAUGGCCGUGAUGGAUCCUUUGUUCUGAGGACUAAUUCAUCGCUGGAGGCAAUUUGGUUGCACUGCACGGCGGUGGCUGCUCACACGACAGCAACAUUUAGCAUUGGCACGGGCAGCUCUAUUAACAGAUGAAUCGGACGUGCUUGAG